AGUCGAAGGUAACAGGAAUUAGCUUGCUAAUUUGCUGACGAGUGGCGCACGGUUGCGUAACGCGUAUACAAUCUACCUUUUGCUGAGGGAUAGCCCAGAGAAAUUUGGAUUAAUACCUCAUGGUAUUAUUGAUAGGCAUCUAUUAAUAAUUAAAGGUUACGGCAAAAGAUGAGUAUGCGUCCCAUUAGCUAGUUGGUGAAGUAACGGUUCACCAAGGCAACGAUGGGUAGGGGUCCUGAGAGGGAGAUCCCCCACACUGGUACUGAGACACGGACCAGACUCCUACGGGAGGCAGCAGUGAGGAAUAUUGGACAAUGGGCGAGAGCCUGAUCCAGCCAUGCCGCGUGCAGGAAGACUGCCCUAUGGGUUGUAAACUGCUUUUAUACAGGAAGAAUAAGCCUUACGUGUAAGGUGAUGACGGUACUGUAAGAAUAAGGACCGGCUAACUCCGUGCCAGCAGCCGCGGUAAUACGGAGGGUCCGAGCGUUAUCCGGAAUUAUUGGGUUUAAAGGGUCCGUAGGCGGAUGAUUAAGUCAGGGGUGAAAGUUUGCAGCUCAACUGUAAAAUUGCCUUUGAUACUGGUCAUCUUGAGUUGUAUUGAAGUAGGCGGAAUAUGUAGUGUAGCGGUGAAAUGCAUAGAUAUUACAUAGAACACCAAUUGCGAAGGCAGCUUACUAAGUACUAACUGACGCUGAUGGACGAAAGCGUGGGUAGCGAACAAGAUUAGAUACCCUGGUAGUCCCGCCGUAAACGAUGGAUACUAGCUGUUCGGGACCUUGAGUUCUGAGCGGCUAACCGAAAGUGAUAAGUAUCCCACCUGGGGAGUAC
RNAcentral lists this ribosomal RNA (828 nucleotides) under uncultured Bacteroidota bacterium. RNAcentral's name for it is "bacterial SSU rRNA". It matches the Rfam family "Bacterial small subunit ribosomal RNA", at positions 60 to 883 of the family's 1533-position model. The record is from RNAcentral. Lineage: Bacteria; Pseudomonadati; Bacteroidota.